This 896-nucleotide long non-coding RNA is filed under the name Brassica rapa (field mustard). RNAcentral's name for it is "long non-coding RNA (BRAP_LNC004587)". Lineage: Eukaryota; Viridiplantae; Streptophyta; Magnoliopsida; Brassicales; Brassicaceae. The record is from RNAcentral.
GGGCAUAAGAGUCUUUUGCCACAUAAUGAAAAGUGUAUUUUUGAAAAUGUCUCUUUAGUGGUGGUAAAAAUGAAAAGUGGUACCAUAAAAGUGGUAAACAUGUAAUUUCCUCACCUCUAAGAUUUUUAUAUUAUUUAUUAAUAAUGAAUAUAGUGUACAAAUGAAUUUUAAAAAUUUGUAAUACAUACAAAAUUUCAAUGAAAACAUAAAUAAUAAUUUAAAAUUAUAAUUAUAAUUCUUUAAUUAAUAAUACAUGUAUUAAUAAGUAAUUAUAAAAUCUCUAUGCCCGUACAUACGGGCGAAACACCUAGUUUAGAAUAGAAACUAAAGUAGGAUGAGCAAAACUUAGUUCAAACUGAAGCAAAAAAUAAAAAAGAAAAAAAUAAUAAAGUUGGAGAUGGUCUUAGUCAAUACAAGUAUAUAUGCAUUAUAAUUUAUCAUCUAAAAUACUUAUAAUGUCAAAAUAUCAAAAAUUAGAUAGCUAUACUUUUAAUUAAUAAAAUAAAAGGAAAUUUUCUCAAAGAUAUUUUUAAGUUUUUAUCACAAAAAUAGACUUCAAAAACUAAAAUGACAAAAUAACACUUUUUAUUUUGAAUUUUUUAUUUUAAAAAUUUUAUUUUUUUUUUUGUUUUUCUAAAUUUGAAAUCAUAUUUCCAAAACUCCAUUUUUCAACUCUAAACUCUAAUGUCUAGAUUAAUUAACCUUAGGAGUAUAAAUGUAUAUUUACUUCUUUUGAUAAAACAUUCUAUUUUUGUCAUUUUUAUUUUAAGGUUUAUAUUUGUGAUUUUUUUUGGUCUAUGGAAUUUCUCUAAAAUAAAUAUUAAAAUUUAGGUAAUAUUCAUAUUAUUUGAUCAUACGAUGAAUCAAAUAUAUUUAGGCUUGCAUGGGCUUUUUUU